UGUGCCCGUGCGCAUGCGCACUGGGAAAGAAAAUGGACUCAAUGGGAGGACUUGCGCAGAUACCAGGACCCUCUGCUCUGAGCCACAAUGAAGAACUUUCCCAGACUAGGCAAGCCCAGGUACUACUGAAACAAAAGUGAGAGCAGAGCCAUCCCUGUGCCGACAGGAGCUUCUAAAGUUAAUAACAGUGUUGGACAUUGGUGCCAGUUAUAGAUACAGAGGCGUAACAAGUGGAGAAGAGGAAGGAUAUGCUUUUAUCAGUGCCCACCAUGUGCCAGAUAAAAUGAAUUGGCUCAUUGGAAAUAUGCUAAUGACCCUGCCAGACUCCAGCAUGAUGAGCAAUUUGGAACGCUGCCCUCUUGCCCACUGUGAUGGAGUGAUGAUUUUAUCCCUUCCUUCCCUGGACCCCUAAGGCAAGAACUGAGCUUCACUCUGCUAGAAGGUCAAUCGUUGGAAAUUGCUCAAAAGGAGUAAGGGAUUUAGUGCUGUAAAACAUUCAUGUAAGUUAACUGGAAGUGUAAAUCAAGAACCAGCAAAAAUAAACUGCUACAGUGCUGCUUCCCUGAUUGAAAUAUCAUCAUUAAUGUAGAAUUGACUUAAAUAAUUUUUACGAUCUUUCUUCUCUCAGGUAAUCAACAGUUGUUUCUUAAGAGAUAAAUUGUAUUCUUUUUGAAAUUAUUUGGGGAGGGGCAUAGCAUCAGGCAAGUAGUUCAAAAAAACAGUAAAUGAGUGACAG
This is a long non-coding RNA of Heterocephalus glaber (naked mole-rat), 736 nucleotides long. The record is from Ensembl. Lineage: Eukaryota; Metazoa; Chordata; Mammalia; Rodentia; Bathyergidae.